UAAACCCACAAGUUGGUAAAGGAAAAAGGAAACAAACAAAUGUCAAUAUCUUUAUAAAAAAAACAACAAAUGAACAACGAAAUUCAUGUGACUAAUCACUAUUAUAGUAGUAUUAUUUUAGAUACUAACUAAGAGUCUUGAAAUGAGUAAAGUUUUCAACCCUUGCGGUAGUCCUUUUCAUAUUUAAGCAUGCCUAGUUGCUUAUACGUAUGUGUUCGAGUGGUGCUCCGCUUUCAAACUAGAGAAAUUGCACCCAAUAGACACAAAAAAAAAAAACAAAAUUCACUGACUAACUAAAAACACCUCCUCUCUACUAGUUUCUCUUCCUAUCUCUCUACUCUUUCUCUAAAAAUCUAAUUUUACUUCUUUUUUUUUGGCUAUUUAGCAAAUAAACCCUUCAAACUACACCGUUGUUUUAUUUUCAUAUCGGAGUGCAAGUAUUAAAUCUAAACGGUUUUCUUAGACAGAAAUCUGAAAAAGUAAAGUAUUAUACUUUGUUUUUGUUUUGUUAUUUGUGCUAGUAAUCCGAUUGAACAAGUUAUUUAAUAGAUACGUACUAUCAUGUCACGUCCGACUCUUCUAAUGGUAUAGACCCAACUGGCGUUCUGGUUGUUGAAGAAAAUACAUUUUUGUUAUUUGCUUAUAUUAUGUAUAACUGAUUUGCUACACAUAUUUUGAUUAUUGAAUAAAUUCAUCCUAAAAAGGAGUUUGACUUCUGUGUAUAUAUUUCCAAAAAAUGAAGUGUAACCGGCUUGACAAGGUAAUAUAUAAACAAAUAUGUAUAAAAAUUAGAGAAUUCGGCCAAAAAAAACCUCAACUUUGUACGAAUUACCAAAAGAAACAUGAACUUUUGAGCUGACAAAAAAAACACUAAACUUUCAUUGACUUUAGAAUUAAUUAACA
This 903-nucleotide long non-coding RNA is filed under the name Brassica napus (rape). RNAcentral describes it as "long non-coding RNA (BNAP_LNC013855)". Lineage: Eukaryota; Viridiplantae; Streptophyta; Magnoliopsida; Brassicales; Brassicaceae. The record is from RNAcentral.